CCCAGACUCCUACGGGAGGCAGCAGUGGGGAAUAUUGCGCAAUGGGGGAAACCCUGACGCAGCAACGCCGCGUGCAGGAAGAAGGUCUUCGGAUUGUAAACUGUUGUCGCAGGGGAAGAAGACAGUGACGGUACCCUGUGAGAAAGUCACGGCUAACUACGUGCCAGCAGCCGCGGUAAUACGUAGGUGACAAGCGUUGUCCGGAUUUACUGGGUGUAAAGGGCGCGUAGGCGGAGGUGCAAGUCAGCGGUCAAAUUGCGGGGCUCAACCCCGUACUGCCGUUGAAACUGCAUCCCUUGAGUGCGCGAGAAGUAUGCGGAAUGCGUGGUGUAGCGGUGAAAUGCAUAGAUAUCACGCAGAACUCCGAUUGCGAAGGCAGCAUACCGGCGCGCAACUGACGCUCAUGCACGAAAGCGUGGGUAUCGAACAGGAUUAGAUACCCGAGUA
This 447-nucleotide ribosomal RNA is filed under the name uncultured bacterium. RNAcentral's name for it is "bacterial SSU rRNA". It matches the Rfam family "Bacterial small subunit ribosomal RNA", at positions 330 to 792 of the family's 1533-position model. The record is from RNAcentral.